UGUGAUUUCUUCCUUAAUUUGAUUCUUCUCAAAAAUACCAAGAUGAUCUCAUCAUUCUCAUAAAAUUCUUUAAUGUUGUUAAUCUAUCUACUUGAGUUCUUUCUUUAGUGAUCUUUCAAUUGAAGCUCCAAAUUCUUCAUGCAGUCUAUCAUUUUUUUAUAUUCACUCUCAAUGUUGUCAAUUUUAAAUUAAUUAUUUCUAUGAUUAUAGCAAUCUUUUUUAGCUUAACAAUGUUAUCAAUCAAUUCUUUAGUAUUGAUUUUGGUAGUUAUAAUAAUUUUAACUUCUUAAAUUGAAUCUAUGAUCUCAAUCAUAUUGCUAAU
RNAcentral lists this long non-coding RNA (322 nucleotides) under Physcomitrium patens. RNAcentral describes it as "long non-coding RNA (PPAT_LNC011094)". Lineage: Eukaryota; Viridiplantae; Streptophyta; Bryopsida; Funariales; Funariaceae. The record is from RNAcentral.